RNAcentral lists this ribosomal RNA (465 nucleotides) under uncultured bacterium. RNAcentral describes it as "partial 16S ribosomal RNA". It matches the Rfam family "Bacterial small subunit ribosomal RNA", at positions 28 to 507 of the family's 1533-position model. The record is from RNAcentral.
GACGAACGCUGGCGGCGUGCUUAACACAUGCAAGUCGAACGGAAAGGCCCUGCUUUUGUGGGGUGCUCGAGUGGCGAACGGGUGAGUAACACGUGAGUAACCUGCCCUUGACUUUGGGAUAACUUCAGGAAACUGGGGCUAAUACCGGAUAGGAGCUCCUGCUGCAUGGUGGGGGUUGGAAAGUUUCGGCGGUUGGGGAUGGACUCGCGGCUUAUCAGCUUGUUGGUGGGGUAGUGGCUUACCAAGGCUUUGACGGGUAGCCGGCCUGAGAGGGUGACCGGCCACAUUGGGACUGAGAGACGGCCCAGACUCCUACGGGAGGCAGCAGUGGGGAAUAUUGCACAAUGGGCGGAAGCCUGAUGCAGCAACGCCGCGUGCGGGAUGACGGCCUUCGGGUAAACCGCUUUCGCCUGUGACGAAGCGUGAGUGACGGUAAUGGGUAAAGAAGCACCGGCUAACUACGUG